This 464-nucleotide ribosomal RNA is filed under the name uncultured Desulfuromonadaceae bacterium. RNAcentral describes it as "partial 16S ribosomal RNA". It matches the Rfam family "Bacterial small subunit ribosomal RNA", at positions 338 to 794 of the family's 1533-position model. The record is from RNAcentral. Lineage: Bacteria; Pseudomonadati; Thermodesulfobacteriota; Desulfuromonadia; Desulfuromonadales; Desulfuromonadaceae.
CCUACGGGAGGCAGCAGUGGGGAAUUUUGCGCAAUGGGGGCAACCCUGACGCAGCAACGCCGCGUGAGUGAUGAAGGCCUUCGGGUCGUAAAGCUCUGUCAGAGGGGAAGAAAUGCAGGUGGUGAACAACCAUUCUGUUUGACGGUACCCUCAAAGGAAGCACCGGCUAACUCCGUGCCAGCAGCCGCGGUAAUACGGAGGGUGCGAGCGUUGUUCGGAAUUAUUGGGCGUAAAGCGCGUGUAGGCGGUUUGUUAAGUCUGAUGUGAAAGCCCCGGGCUCAACCGGGGAAGUGCAUUGGAUACUAGCAGACUUGAGUACGGGAGAGGAGAGUGGAAUUCCCAGUGUAGGAGUGAAAUCCGUAGAUAUGGGGAGGAACACCAGUGGCGAAGGCGGCUCUCUGGACCGAGACUGACGCUGAAACGCGAAAGCGGGGGGAGCAAACAGGAUUAGAUCCCCCUGUAGU